GUUCAAGUAUUUCCGAAUCCAAAAAAGAGCUUUGAAAAUGAUAGGCGAUAGAACUAUAACCAAAAUAAUUACGUCCGCCGCAAUGUUUCAUGCCUUUCGUUGGUUUACCGAUAUUUUUAUAAACAGCGUUCUGUCGAAUUAGCCAUUUGAUUUCCCCCCCUUUAAACAAUCCAGCCGUAAUAGUCAUACUUCAAGAAAUGCACAUCAGUUUGACCUUGAGCUCAAUUUCGGUCGUACUGUCUAGUAUAGAUAUUCUUUUUUAACCGCACAUUGAGAAUGUGGAAUGCUUUACCCAGCUCUGUUUUUCCCUAUCAUUUUGAUAUUCAAAACUUUAAGACCAAUGUGCAUCGCUCGCACCUAUGAAUUUGGCAAAAACUCAACAAAACAUCGAAUAAGCUACAAGAGUGCGUUCAAAGGAUAGCAAACUGACCGCAAAAAGGCUAAAUCUGAUCCAAACGUCAUCGUGUAUAUCACUUUUGAUUUGCUAUGCCCUUGCCCAAACUAACAACAUCAGAGGCAUUCUACAUACAUGCGGCAGAAGUAAAAACGUUUAAUAGAUGAUGAAUCAUAAUCUACAGAUUGAGGAGAAGUUUAAGAGAUGCUUCCAACCCACUGGAAACACCAGAUAAUUUAUAUGUGUUAUACUUUCGGCUUAGCAAACACGCAUUUAAAUAUAUUUUAAGUCAGAUAAGUUCAGGAUUUUAAACGACUCAAAGGCCGCAUUCACAAAGCAAGUGGCUACGUAGUCAAGGGAUUUUGAUUGGCUAAAUCUAACUACAAAAGUAGUUGAAAUUUUCCCUCCGACGUAGUGUAAAAAAUUCGGCUACAAAGUUAGUGAAGAAUGAUUUUGACGUUUCACAAUCAGCUGUUCGGUAAAUUUAAGUAACACGAAUUCAAAAUGAAAUAAAUCGUUCAGUAUUUAAAUACAAACAUAAAUCAUUCAAAUUGUGUCUUAAAUUUGAUUUUAUUUAAUUUAAAAACACAAAAAAAAAGUUAAAGUUUUCAAAACAAAAAUUGUUCUUAUUUUAUAUAUUUGCAUUUGUUAAUAAUAUGACAGUUCCACAUUGACUAGCUUUGUACUGUAGUUUUGCAUUCAUAAAGCUAGUUGAAUUUUGACUACGUAGCCACUAGCUUUGUGAAUGCGACCAAAGUUCUGCAAUUACACCAAUUUUAAAACUUGCGUGCGCAAGUGGAAGUUAUGAAAAUAGUGUAUUAAAUGACUUUGAGCUAGGUUUCUUCCCACCUACAGUUUCAGUAGUUUUAAGCGAAGUGCUUAAUUUGAUUGAAGCAAGAAUCUGCCCAGUUUGGAUCAAUGUAGAUAUGUCCACUAAUGAAAAGCAAGAAGCGAGAAACUAUUUUUUUUAAAGAGCAGACUUACCAGGGAUAGUUGGACGUGUAGACGGAACUCACAUCGGUAUCAUAUCUUGUUAUCAGUUACAACACCAAUAUUUAAAUAGAAAAGGCUUGUGACAAUAAUGGAGUAAUAAGAUUUAUUUAUGCUAGAUAUCCUGUUUCUACGCAUGACUCGUUUGUGUGGAAUCAUAGUGCGUAAAAGGAUUUGUUGGAAAGGUGGUGGAUAAAUGGAGAGCGGUCAAGAUAUCUUGGAGAUGCAGGAUAAUAUCCUCUACUGCCGUAUUUACUCGUUCCAUUUAGAAAUGCCUCCUCAGGGUCUAAAGAAGGACUAUUCAAUAAAAAAUAUGCGAAGACAAGAAACAUUAUUGAGA
This is a long non-coding RNA of Eupeodes corollae, 1724 nucleotides long. RefSeq lists it as uncharacterized. Lineage: Eukaryota; Metazoa; Arthropoda; Insecta; Diptera; Syrphidae. The transcript is spliced from 4 exons. The record is from RefSeq and is a predicted model, not a curated record.